RNAcentral lists this ribosomal RNA (460 nucleotides) under uncultured bacterium. RNAcentral describes it as "SSU rRNA". It matches the Rfam family "Bacterial small subunit ribosomal RNA", at positions 26 to 518 of the family's 1533-position model. The record is from RNAcentral.
AGAAUCAACGCUGGCGGCGUGCCUAACACAUGCAAGUCGAACGAGAAAGUGGAGCAAUCCAUGAGUAAAGUGGCGCACGGGUGAGUAACACGUGACUAACCUACCCUUGAGUGGGGGAUAACCUAGAGAAAUCUGGGCUAAUACCGCAUAAUACCUUCGGGUCAAAGGAGCAAUUCGCUUUAGGAGGGGGUCGCGGCCGAUUAGUUAGUUGGCGGGGUAAUGGCCCACCAAGACUGUGAUCGGUAUCCGGCCUGAGAGGGCGCACGGACACACUGGAACUGAAACACGGUCCAGACUCCUACGGGAGGCAGCAGUGGGGAAUUUUGCGCAAUGGGGGAAACCCUGACGCAGCAACGCCGCGUGGAGGAUGAAGCCCCUUGGGGCGUAAACUCCUUUCGAUCGGGAAGAUAAUGACGGUACCGAGAGAAGAACGCCCCGGCUAACUCGCGCCAGCAGCCGC